This 405-nucleotide ribosomal RNA is filed under the name uncultured bacterium. RNAcentral's name for it is "partial 16S ribosomal RNA". It matches the Rfam family "Bacterial small subunit ribosomal RNA", at positions 30 to 526 of the family's 1533-position model. The record is from RNAcentral.
AUUGAACGCUGGCGGCAGGCUUAACACAUGCAAGUCGAACGAGUGGCGGACGGGUGAGUAAUGCUUGGGAAUCUGGCUUAUGGAGGGGGAUAACGACGGGAAACUGUCGCUAAUACCGCGUACCAUAGGAUGAGCCCAAGUGGGAUUAGGUAGUUGGUGGGGUAAUGGCCUACCACGCCGCCGAUCUCUAGCUGGUCUGAGAGGAUGACCAGCCACAUCGGGGCUGAGACACGGCCCGUACUCCUACGAGAGGGAGCAGUGGGGAAUAGUGCGCAAUGGGGGCGAACUGACGCAACCAUGCCGCGUGUAUGAAGACGGCGUUCGGGUUGUAAAGUUCUUUCGGUGACGAGGCGUUAAUCACAGAAGAAGCACCGGCUAACUCCGUGCCAGCAGCCGCGGUAAUUC